GUGAGGAAUAUUGCGCAAUGGAGGCAACUCUGACGCAGCCAUGCCGCGUGCAGGAAGAAGGCGCUACGCGUUGUAAACUGCUUUUAACCGGGAAGAAACCCCAGGACGUGUCCUGGGUUGACGGUACCGGAGGAAUAAGCACCGGCUAACUUCGUGCCAGCAGCCGCGGUAAUACGAAGGGUGCAAGCGUUAUCCGUAUUCAUUGGGUUUAAAGGGUGCGUAGGCGUAGCGUUAAGUCAGUGGUGAAAUCCUGCAGCUUAACUGUAGACUUGCCAUUGAUACUGGCGCUCUUGAGUGCGCUUGAAGUGGGCGGAAUGUGCCGUGUAGCGGUGAAAUGCUUAGAUAUGGCACAGAACACCAAUUGCGAAGGCAGCUCACUAAGGCGAUACUGACGCUGAGGCACGAAAGCGUGGGGAUCGAACAGGAUUAGAAACCCCAGUAGUCC
RNAcentral lists this ribosomal RNA (445 nucleotides) under uncultured bacterium. Its description in RNAcentral is "partial 16S ribosomal RNA". It matches the Rfam family "Bacterial small subunit ribosomal RNA", at positions 354 to 796 of the family's 1533-position model. The record is from RNAcentral.